This 526-nucleotide ribosomal RNA is filed under the name uncultured bacterium. RNAcentral's name for it is "bacterial SSU rRNA". It matches the Rfam family "Bacterial small subunit ribosomal RNA", at positions 981 to 1509 of the family's 1533-position model. The record is from RNAcentral.
UUGACAUCCAGAGAACUUAGCAGAGAUGCUUUGGUGCCUUCGGGAACUCUGAGACAGGUGCUGCAUGGCUGUCGUCAGCUCGUGUUGUGAAAUGUUGGUUAAGUCCGCAACGAGCGCAACCCUUAUCCUUUGUUGCCAGCGGUUCGGCCGGGAACUCAAAGGAGACUGCCGGUGAUAAACCGGAGGAAGGUGGGGAUGACGUCAAGUCAUCAUGGCCCUUACGGCCAGGGCUACACACGUGCUACAAUGGCGCAUACAAAGAGAAGCGACCUCGCGAGAGCAAGCGGACCUCAUAAAGUGCGUCGUAGUCCGGAUUGGAGUCUGCAACUCGACUCCAUGAAGUCGGAAUCGCUAGUAAUCGUAGAUCAGAAUGCUACGGUGAAUACGUUCCCGGGCCUUGUACACACCGCCCGUCACACCAUGGGAGUGGGUUGCAAAAGAAGUAGGUAGCUUAACCUUCGGGAGGGCGCUUACCACUUUGUGAUUCAUGACUGGGGUGAAGUCGUAACAAGGUAGGCGUACGUGU